This 446-nucleotide ribosomal RNA is filed under the name uncultured bacterium. Its description in RNAcentral is "partial 16S ribosomal RNA". It matches the Rfam family "Bacterial small subunit ribosomal RNA", at positions 338 to 795 of the family's 1533-position model. The record is from RNAcentral.
CCUACGGGGUGCUGCAGUCGAGAAUCAUUCACAAUGGGGGAAACCCUGAUGGUGCGACGCCGCGUGGGGGAAUGAAGGUCUUCGGAUUGUAAACCCCUGUCAUGUGGGAGCAAAUUAAAAAGAUAGUACCACAAGAGGAAGAGACGGCUAACUCUGUGCCAGCAGCCGCGGUAAUACAGAGGUCUCAAGCGUUGUUCGGAAUCACUGGGCGUAAAGCGUGCGUAGGCUGUUUCGUAAGUCGUGUGUGAAAGGCGCGGGCUCAACCCGCGGACGGCACAUGAUACUGCGAGACUAGAGUAAGGGAGGGGGAACCGGAAUUCUCGGUGUAGCAGUGAAAUGCGUAGAUAUCGAGAGGAACACUCGUGGCGAAGGCGGGUUCCUGGACAUUAACUGACGCUGAGGCACGAAGGCCAGGGGAGCGAAAGGGAUUAGAUACCCUUGUAGUC